CAGCCGCCACGGUAAUACAUAGGGUGCGAGCGUUAAUCGGAAUUACUGGGCGUAAAGCGUGCGUAGGCGGUGAGCUAAGUCUGCUGUGAAAUCCCCGGGCUCAACCUGGGAAUGGCAGUGGAUACUGGCUCGCUAGAGUGUGUCAGAGGAUGGUGGAAUUCCCGGUGUAGCGGUGAAAUGCGUAGAGAUCGGGAGGAACAUCAGUGGCGAAGGCGGCCAUCUGGGACAACACUGACGCUGAGGCACGAAAGCGUGGGGAGCAAACAGGAUUAGAUACCCGCGUAGUCCCUGUCUCUUAUAC
Molecule: ribosomal RNA, 301 nt
Filed under: uncultured bacterium
Lineage: Bacteria
Description: partial 16S ribosomal RNA
Rfam family: Bacterial small subunit ribosomal RNA
Source: RNAcentral